This 1431-nucleotide ribosomal RNA is filed under the name Corynebacterium uropygiale. RNAcentral describes it as "bacterial SSU rRNA". It matches the Rfam family "Bacterial small subunit ribosomal RNA". The record is from RNAcentral. Lineage: Bacteria; Bacillati; Actinomycetota; Actinomycetes; Mycobacteriales; Corynebacteriaceae.
UGCAAGUCGAACGGAAAGGCCCUUGCUUGCAGGGGUACUCGAGUGGCGAACGGGUGAGUAACACGUGGGUGAUCUGCCCUGUACUUCGGGAUAAGCCUGGGAAACUGGGUCUAAUACCGGAUAGGACUGCAUCGAUUGGUGGUGUGGUGGAAAGAUGUUUUUCGGUAUGGGAUGAGCCCGCGGCCUAUCAGCUUGUUGGUGGGGUAAUGGCCUACCAAGGCGGCGACGGGUAGCCGGCCUGAGAGGGUGGACGGCCACAUUGGGACUGAGAUACGGCCCAGACUCCUACGGGAGGCAGCAGUGGGGAAUAUUGCACAAUGGGCGCAAGCCUGAUGCAGCGACGCCGCGUGAGGGAUGACGGCCUUCGGGUUGUAAACCUCUUUCGCUAGGGACGAAGCCAUCGUUGUGGUGGUGACGGUACCUGGAUAAGAAGCACCGGCUAACUACGUGCCAGCAGCCGCGGUAAUACGUAGGGUGCGAGCGUUGUCCGGAAUUACUGGGCGUAAAGAGCUCGUAGGUGGUUUGUCGCGUCGUCUGUGAAAUUCCGGGGCUUAACUUCGGGCGUGCAGGCGAUACGGGCAUAACUUGAGUGCUGUAGGGGAGACUGGAAUUCCUGGUGUAGCGGUGAAAUGCGCAGAUAUCAGGAGGAACACCGAUGGCGAAGGCAGGUCUCUGGGCAGUAACUGACGCUGAGGAGCGAAAGCAUGGGUAGCGAACAGGAUUAGAUACCCUGGUAGUCCAUGCCGUAAACGGUGGGCGCUAGGUGUAGGGGUCUUCCACGGCCUCUGUGUCGUAGCUAACGCAUUAAGCGCCCCGCCUGGGGAGUACGGCCGCAAGGCUAAAACUCAAAGGAAUUGACGGGGGCCCGCACAAGCGGCGGAGCAUGUGGAUUAAUUCGAUGCAACGCGAAGAACCUUACCUGGGCUUGACAUACACCAGAUCGCUGCAGAGAUGUAGUUUCCCUUGUGGUUGGUGUACAGGUGGUGCAUGGUUGUCGUCAGCUCGUGUCGUGAGAUGUUGGGUUAAGUCCCGCAACGAGCGCAACCCUUGUCUUAUGUUGCCAGCACGUUGUGGUGGGGACUCAUGAGAGACUGCCGGGGUUAACUCGGAGGAAGGUGGGGAUGACGUCAAAUCAUCAUGCCCCUUAUGUCCAGGGCUUCACACAUGCUACAAUGGUCGGUACAGUAGGUUGCGAUACCGUGAGGUGGAGCUAAUCCUUGAAAGCCGGUCGUAGUUCGGAUUGGGGUCUGCAACUCGACCCCAUGAAGUCGGAGUCGCUAGUAAUCGCAGAUCAGCAACGCUGCGGUGAAUACGUUCCCGGGCCUUGUACACACCGCCCGUCACGUCAUGAAAGUUGGUAACACCCGAAGCCAGUGGCCUAAGCCUUUGUGGUGGGGAGCUGUCGAAGGUGGGAUCGGCGAUUGGGACGAA